UGAAAGUUGUACAAAAGAGCAGGUUGCACUUGCUAGUAUUAUUAUUUUACCAAUGUAACAGGGGGGGGUGGGGGGAGGGGGGGAGUUGUGUUAUGUGUUUCUGUUUAUACUAUGCUUAUUUAAAUUAAUUUUGACUUCCUACAGUAGCAGGACUUGUGAUACAUGUUCUUUUGCAUUUUAUGAGCAGAAUCUGUACAAGAUGAAGUUGAGUGUAAUGGUGUUUGAUUGGCACCACUCUGUUUCAGCAGCAAACCAACUCUAAGCUGGAACUGCUUCUGAACUGGACGGGGAACUUUACUCACUACAGGACGGGGCUCGAUUAUUCCACCAGGUUCUUUUUAUCUCUUUCCUUUAGCUUCAAGCAUUUAUUAAUAUCGACUCAAUGCUGUCACAUUGAAGUCUGCCAGGAUAGACCAAGUCAGGACUAUCAAUUAAACAGAUCCCAAGUGAAGGGGAUGAUCAGCCAUGAUCACAAUGAAUGGUGGUGCUGGCUCGAAGGGCCGAAUGGCCUCCUCCUGCACCUAUUUUCUAUGUUUCUAUGAAGGUCCUUGGGAAUUUGAGUCAGUUCCCUAGUGAGUCUUUUGUCUGAAGGAGUUGGCUGUACCCUGUAUCUAUCUACCUAUCUUGCACAUACCCUGGGAGUGUUUAAUGGUACAUUGUGAUGGGAGACUUGCACGAUGCACAACCUGGGACAUGGGACAGUGUGGUGUGGAUUAACAUUGCAUUGUGUGAGGAUACAAUGAGUGGGGGAAGGUUUACACAUUAUCUGCCCCGAGUUGUGUUUGUCCGAGGACUGUUUGUUGAGACACUGCAGUGGGCUGCAUAUAAUCCUGCACUCCGACCACUUCUAGAACUCCAGCACCCCUUAGUUUUGCUCAUUCAAAUCUGUAAUCAGUAAUUUGUAUAUUAUCCUUUUCAAUUACGUUUGGCAAUUCAGAAAGAGAUAACAGACAAAACUCUCACCCAGACCUGAUGUCUGGCACUAGGGUUCCUGGGCAGGUCAAGGUGGGUACAGUGGCACCAGGUGUGGGCAGUUGGAGGUGGAUGCGGUGGCACCAGGUGUGGCAAGCAGAGAUGGGUGUGGUGGCACCAGGCAGGUGGAGAUUGCACUAUGUGUGGGCAGUUGUGGGCAAGCGGAGGUGGGUGCGGUGUUGGCAUGUGGUAGUGGCACUAGGUGUGGGCAGGUGGAGGUGGCACCAGGUGUGGGCAGGUGGAGGUGGGUGCGGUGGCACCAGGUGUGGGCAGUUUGCAAGCUUUGUGUCCCUGGAGAUGGCAGAUGCCCAGAAGUAGGCGGUGGUUGGACAGCAUUGGGCAGGAAGCCGCCUGGUUUAAUAAAUGCUUGAAGCUCAGACCACACAACACAUGUGGAUCGUUCAGGGAUGGGGUGGGAGGGCGUGAGAUGAAAUAAACUCUUAAUGUUAUUGUUCUUCCCUAUUUCCAAGGAAGAAUCUGGAGACCUCAAUAAAUAAAACUUUAAGACACAUUUGUAAAAACGCAAACAAAUUGAAAGUGCACAAUAUUAAUAUUCGUUACCCAGUCAGAACGGACGUUAAGAGCAGGCUCGGUUUUGGCGAUAUGUUAUGUACUGGUGUAUAUUCUGUCAGUUGCUCUACCUCCCCUGUUUAGAUAUCGUACGGCUUCAAGUUCUGGGUUUGAUUUUCCGCUUGUUCUGCUCUCGACGUGCUUUCUUUCCUGCCGGACCUCGCGGCAGCUUACGUAGCGGGUAGUUUAAACUAUUAUUUUGAUUGCCUUGUUAUUCCAUAUGGCAUUUGAGGCGAUGUUAUCAACUUUCGGAAGGGUGGGUGGGUGGUCACGUAGGUUUAAAGAUAAGUGGUUUAGGUAAUGUUUGUAUAUUUAUCUUAGAAUAAUUUUGAUACUUCCCUAAUCAGCGUGUUGUGUUAAAUCUCUCGGAUGCGAAGAUUUUUAAUUAUUUUUCUCGAUUUAUUCCUGUAUUCAUCGUGUGUUUUACCUCAAGGAGAAACCUUUUUUUAAAUGGUAAAUAGGAC
Molecule: long non-coding RNA, 2006 nt
Organism: Amblyraja radiata (thorny skate)
Lineage: Eukaryota; Metazoa; Chordata; Chondrichthyes; Rajiformes; Rajidae
Exons: 2
Source: RefSeq, a predicted model, not a curated record